Long non-coding RNA from Acromyrmex echinatior (Panamanian leafcutter ant), 538 nucleotides. RefSeq lists it as uncharacterized. NCBI's taxonomy places the organism in Eukaryota, Metazoa, Arthropoda, Insecta, Hymenoptera, Formicidae. The record is from RefSeq and is a predicted model, not a curated record.
UAGUGAUUCAGAUUCUGAGAUACUGUACGGACAUAAUGGCAGAUCACAAGAAUAUGCAAGAAAAUUGGAUUUUGCAUAAUAGGAUACAAUUUGUAUCAAGUUUUUCGUACUAGUUUAAUAGUGGAAAUGCACUUAAAUUGUCUUUAUGGAAUAGUCAUCAUUCAUAUUUAAUUAUACAACGAACAAAGAUCAUAAAAUGGUAUUAAAAUGACACCUGAUAUGUAUAUUUGUAAAAAAAAAUACGAACAAUGUAUGUGUUAUCGUGAUAUACUGCGCAAAUUAAAUUAUAAAUCAAAAUGCAAGAUCUGCCAUAACCCGAAUAUAUUAUUUUAUUAGACUGGUACACAUCUGCAAGCUGAAGGAAAUCAAAAGACGACAAUGGAAAAUUUAUGACAAUGUUUUUUAAUUAAUUAAUCGUAUGGACAUUCGAUUUCAAUUCGGUUUCAACAGAUAUGAGUACAUUUCAGUUUUGAAUUUCAAUAAUUUCUGAAAACAACAUCAAUAGUCUUGAUGCCUUAAAUGAAUUAGAAUUGAUGGA